Molecule: non-coding RNA, 23 nt
Filed under: Cricetulus griseus (Chinese hamster)
Lineage: Eukaryota; Metazoa; Chordata; Mammalia; Rodentia; Cricetidae
Source: RNAcentral
AUCAAAAGGAAAAGGACGAGAGA